Molecule: ribosomal RNA, 497 nt
Filed under: uncultured bacterium
Lineage: Bacteria
Description: partial 16S ribosomal RNA
Rfam family: Bacterial small subunit ribosomal RNA
Source: RNAcentral
GAUGAACGCUGGCGGCGUGCCUAAUACAUGCAAGUCGAGCGAACAGACGAGGAGCUUGCUCCUCUGACGUUAGCGGCGGACGGGUGAGUAACACGUGGAUAACCUACCUAUAAGACUGGGAUAACUUCGGGAAACCGGAGCUAAUACCGGAUAAUAUAUUGAACCGCAUGGUUCAAUAGUGAAAGACGGUUUUGCUGUCACUUAUAGAUGGAUCCGCGCCGCAUUAGCUAGUUGGUAAGGUAACGGCUUACCAAGGCAACGAUGCGUAGCCGACCUGAGAGGGUGAUCGGCCACAAUGGAACUGAGACACGGUCCAGACUCCUACGGGAGGCAGCAGUAGGGAAUCUUCCGCAAUGGGCGAAAGCCUGACGGAGCAACGGCGCGUGAGUGAUGAAGGUCUUCGGAUCGUAAAACUCUGUUAUUAGGGAAGAACAAAUGUGUAAGUAACUAUGCACGUCUUGACGGUAACUAAUCAGAAAGCCACGGCUAACUACGUG